Long non-coding RNA from Scylla paramamosain (green mud crab), 544 nucleotides. RefSeq lists it as uncharacterized. NCBI's taxonomy places the organism in Eukaryota, Metazoa, Arthropoda, Malacostraca, Decapoda, Portunidae. The transcript has 3 exons. The record is from RefSeq and is a predicted model, not a curated record.
GGUCGAAAGACAUCAGCUGGUGAAGGACAUGGAACAGAUUAUGAAGGAGAUCUCCAAAGGCAAAGGCGUUUACGUCCAAAAUCGCAGCGCUCGGGAAUUUAACAUAAAUACUCAGCUUCGUCCUGCAGAGGGAACCAAGGCAACUCGUAUGUUAAAGGAAUGCUUUGCUACAUACACUAUAGCUGCUGGAAUUCCGUCUUACUCACCAUUAAAACAUCGUUUUGAUGAAGCGAUCAGCAGAAUAUUUGAGAGUGGAUUGGUGCGCUACUGGAAGCAGGAAUCGUAUGUUAAAUUCAGAAAGAACAAUAAACAUGACGAUAGAAUGGAUGAGAAGACCAGAAACGAGGCUGAUGGUGUUAAGACAACCAUGGUUCCCCUUAGCCUGGACCACCUACAGACUGCCUUCUAUGUGCUCUUCUCCAAUCUGAUUUUCUCUUCCGUUGUAUUCUUGAUAGAAAACAUCCAACAGUGUUUGUAAUUAAUGCUUGCCAUGAUAAUCUGAACCUAUACACAUGCUAAGGUUCCGGUUAAGUCCAUUUAACAG